UAAAUAAUUAGUAUAGUUUACACUGUGUUGUGUUUUUUCUCUACAUGGUUUUUUACCUAGAAGAGGUAUUUGUUUUUAUUGAUAGAAGAUUUUGUCACUUAGUUAAUUACAAUAUUAAUGUUAAAACGGCAAUUAAAAUAUUUUUGAUAUUUAUUUUGCUGUUUUAUUUAACAUGUACUAAGCUACCCCGCACUGUCUGAAUGUUCCCCGACCUAUGUACGAACCUGCCCCUUUUGAGGGGUAGAUUCGGGCAUUUGACAACUUCUACUAAAAUUGAAUUUGCUCUUUUGUUGUAAAAUUUACUCACUUCUAAUUUUUUUAAUAAGUAGCGAAAGGUAUCAGCACCUCUAGCACAUCUUGCAUCCGCGACUUAGACCGCGACUCAAGUCGACAUUCCCGCGGCUGUCAAAUCUGUCGAUUUCCGUAGCACAACUUGUACCCGCGACUGCAACAGCCGCGUAGACAACUCAAAGUCGCGGCGCGACUCAUCAGUGUUCCCCGAUGGAAUCAAAGUCUAAACAUAAAUGCUAUUUACAUGUGACAACACUGAAUCGGAAACAGGGUUGCGCUAUUUCAUUCGUUCUUUGGUGGUAAAAAAUCUAGUUUAUUGUCGAUGGUUAAGUUUUUCCUGUCAAAGUCAAGGAACUUUCAAAUUUUGUCAACAUUUAAUUACGAGAAAAAAUAUGAAAAAAUAAUAAGUCCAGCAUUAUCCUAGACACGAUUGAUAUCCCAGCACCCAAAGGAAAAUAUUGUUAACAGGAAUGUGCCAACGGGACCCGAAGUGGAGAGUCAGGAAAAGAAACACACUAGGCAAGCUUGUAGGUUUCAAACGCGGAGCUGUCCGUUUCUAAAGUCACUAAGAUGUGAGAAGCGCUUUAGCUUUAAGAACACCACCGAGGAAGUGAACUAUUAUAAUAACCAUAAUGGUUAUGGCGUACCUAUCUAUAGUUCAUUUGUUUUUAGCAUUAGAAAUAAGGUAAACAAUCUUGAUGUGUCUUUUAAUUAAAAAACACAUUUUAAAAAUAAGUUACAGCAAAUAUGUAACAAUUAUGAAUCUAAUACGAUCAUUUAUAUUUUUCUGCUUUCAUAAGCAAAUAUUGUGCCAAUAAUGGAUGGCAUGUGUGUGUACUGUGUAACUGUUUAUGAUUUGACAAAUUGAUAUGAAAAGCUUAUUUCAUAGUCCUCGAUGAAGUCACGACCAUAUUUUAUUUUUUUGUUUACAAACCAAUUUUCUUUCCAGGGUGAUAUUUAAUUGUCCUACGCCGCAUGUCGAAUAAAAAGGAAGAGAGAAAAUACUUUUCAAGGGUAAUAAAGAAGAUUCUUACAAUUUCUCUAUUGUGGUUCUAGAUGUUAAUAAUAUAUUAGGUUUAAUAAUAAGAAGUCGAAUAUUGCAAGAAUAUAUAAGGCAAAGCAAUAUACUAUUAAUUUAAA
Molecule: long non-coding RNA, 1431 nt
Organism: Cydia splendana
Lineage: Eukaryota; Metazoa; Arthropoda; Insecta; Lepidoptera; Tortricidae
Exons: 2
Source: RefSeq, a predicted model, not a curated record